AAAGAUGAACUGCCUGGUGGGGCAUCCUUCAAAAAGUGUUCUAGCUGGUCCCCUCACCAUGACAGAUGAUGUCUGCUGAGGAAGUCCCUGUGGGUUCCAGUGCUCAUGGGGUAAGGGCUGUGGUCAAGUCCCUAGCAGCCCAUGAGCUGGUGCUGCCAACUUCACUGGUGAAGGAAAUGUCACUGUCUACCUGAGGUAAGCAAUCCAUCCAGAUCCUACGGGUGGGAUGGCACCAGGGGUUUCCCAUGGUGUGGUUCUUAGGGUUGGGUUGAUGAUGAGACCUCAUACUGUCUCGAAGAGAGAUGAUGACUUGAAAAUCAUGCUCAAUAGGAUUACGCUGAGGCUCAGCCUAGUGUCAGCGAAGCAAGGGGCUUUUCAUGAUUAAGUUCCUUCCAGGAGGAGAUCCUGGGGACUGGAGACUGCAGCCCCCCAGGUAAUGAUGUCAUCCUCAGGCAGCAAAGGCUGCUGGUGCAGGAUGUGCACAAGCUCUUCCUCACGGUGUGUGUACUCCCUGCUGUAUGAUUUGCAGGGCUGCUCUAGGGGAUCCUUCCUCAGCUCCUUUCUGCCCCUUGUAUCUUUUAGUGAGACGAGCUGCCAAGUGGGGCACCUUCUCGCCUGUGGUGCUAGAUGAUGUCGCCACAGGAGAACGCUUGAGAAUCAGUGUCAGGGUGCAGGGGCUGUGGUCAAGGCCCCAGUGGCCCAUGAGCUGGUGCGGCCUGCUCCGUCGGAGACAAAAAUGUCAAUGACUGCCCACUUGAAACAACAGAGUGAUGCUGUAAACUGUACCCCAGGUCUCAGAUGAUAUCAUCAAAGGAAGCUCUUGUAUAUUCCACUGCCAUGGUGGCAACAGCUGCGAUCGAGGCCCAAGCAUCCCAUGAGCUGGAGGUGCCAUCCCUGUUGGAGUAGGAAACAUCCGUGACUUUCAAUGUGAGUAGAGCAGCAUGGCAGGGCAUCCUGUCAACCCACUUCACAGAUGAAGUCACGAAAAGAAGCCCCUGUGUGGUCCAGUGCCUCAGGGACAAGUGCUGUAUCAAAGCCUCAGUGGACCGUGAGCUGCUGGUGCCAGCCCCCUGGACCGCCCCAGGGAGAUGAGCAGCCUGGCCUGGCACCUUUCAACAAGAGUUCUAGUGAGCCAAGCUGAUGGUGUGACCUCUAUCCCAGGUCUCAGUUAGCCUUGUGAACUUCCCCCCCCGGGGGUCGUUCCCUCUAGUCUCCUCUCUCCGCUUGCCUGCCGGUGUCUCGGGCUAUUGAGGUUCGGCUCACCUCGCGUUCCAGCGCUGGUGUGUUGAGUCUGCCGCUGAUGUCCCGAACUGUGAGCUCCCACGCUCUCCACGCAGGUCCGCUGUGAGUCACGCGUUCCGGAAGAGUUUCUUCUGCUGUUUCCUCCCCUACUCUUCCUUGAACCUGCAGUAUCUCCACUUUUAUCAAACCAUCUCUCCCCAGACUAUCAGUGUGCUCCCUUCCUAUUCCGCCAUCUUGCCGGCCUCUCCUAUGACCAGUUUUCAAAUGCCAAGGCUAUGUCAGUGCUUGCUUGUCCAUCUCAGGUACUGGCCUGGACCUGGGUCACUGAGGCAGGAUGGAGCAUUGGAGGAAGCCACAUCUCUCAGUGAGACCCAUCCCGAGUUUCCUCUUGGUCCAAUGUCUGACAGGCCCAGCCAUUCGCACGCGAGGUUGGGGAACUUGUCAAAACACCACGCCUAAAAGAUGGUCUCCUGGCAAUUUCAACCGGACUGAUGAUGUCACCAAAGGAAGCCCCUGUGGGUUCCACUGCCAUGGUGGCAAGGGCUGUCAUCAAGGCCCAAGCAGCUGAAGGUGUCAGGCCUAUUGGAGUAGGAAACAUCCAUGCUUCCAAUGUGAGACCUGCUGCUCAUGGGCACCUUUGCUUCUAGAGUCCCAGCUGACCUCUUCCCUCUGCUCCUGUGGGUUCCAGUGUACCUGGGACAAGGCCAAGGUCAAGGCCCAUGACCCAUGAGCUUCUGGUACCAGCCCCAUUGGCAAAGGAAAAGUCCCUGACUGCCUGAGUAGAAUUUGCUGCCCAGCAAUUCACCCUUGCAUCCUGGGUCCCGGGUGUGUAGAUGCCAAGGAUCAUGGAGCCUCUUCUCGGGAACUGGGUGUCAGGGCAGAUCACUCAAUGCAAACCUGAGUCGUGGAACAAAGACCACCAAUGCUAGGUCACAGUCCCCAGGCAUGAGAAGAUACAUGAGCAGUUUCUGCCAAAGCUCCUACCUCCUUGGGCUUUGUGCUCCCCAUGGGCCGAUGGCUUGAGCCACACUGUGCACACCCUCCUCAACUCCUUUCUCCCCACUGUUUCUAUCAGUGAGCCCUACUUUGCCCAGAGGACACCCCUGUGUCCUGGGUCCCAGGUGAGUGAAUUGUGGGGAUUCAUGUGGCAAGUGCAUGGGAGCAGAGGGUGUUGGUGGUUGAGCCAAGGGAGCCCCUGGAGUGGACCCACAGAGAUACGAGAAGCAGCCUCUGGCCAAGCUCGUGCGUGAACUGUGCUUCUUUGGGCACUGAGAUCCAGAACACUUUAUGUGAGCACUGGGCCUCGUGAGGUUGGAGGCAGUUCCUGAGGCAGGGGUCACGUGGAGCAGAGCAAGUACUCAGCCAGUGUGCACUGCAGGGCCUCUGGGUUGGCUUGCUGGUAUGAAUGGAAGUAUACAUACACUGGUGAUAGGGUUUCCAUAUGAAAGUAGAGCUUAGAUUCCAUAGGAUGCCUUGACCAUGGACCACUACAAGGUUGCUAGGGAGAUUUGAUGGGGCAGCUGGCUCUGCAGGUGCUGGGAAGGUUGGGAGCUGCACGUGGGUCACAAGGACACUGGAGUUUAGGUUGCAGGGACUCUCCAGUCAGUGCCCGAUCAGUGGGGUGCCAAACACUGACUUAAGUGUAACAGGUGAGGACACCUGUGGAUUGAUCCCAUGGCUUGCCUUGUCCAGGGGGACACUUUUACACACCACAUGGGUGGGCUUCCAAAUGAGUUGAGCCCAUCAAGAUGCCAGGGACCCUCAUGAACCUGGGCAUCUCUAAACCACAGGAGGGACCAAUUCCCCAUGGAAGGAGUGGGUCAUGGUCUAGCCUGAUGCCCAUACCCCUUGUUUGGGAUGUGUAUUUUUUGGUAGGGGGCAGUGACCGUGGGAGGAAGUAUCCCUGAGGAGCUACUUCCUGAGCUCCCGGGAUGCACUGUGUGCAUGCAGCCUUUUCCUGAGCUCCCAGGCCUAAUCUGAAUGCCGUGUUGGUUUGGCCAGGGUCCUUGGGGGCUUCCUUGGAGAUCAGGCCUGCUUGUGGGGACAUUGCUAAGAUACCACAGAAGACCACUCAAAGCAGUAAGGGGAGUUUUUCAAGGCAGCUGGCUUUGCAGGUGCCUGGCAGCCUGGGAGCUUUACAGGCAUUGAGGGGUCCACAGCUUAAGACACAGGGACACUGCAGCCAGUACCCAGACAGGUGAGUGCCAGCACCCAGCCAGGGCACCUGUUGGGUGAAACCUGACAUGCCCCAUCCCCGCCACUUGCCACAGGCAAGGUCUGAUGUUCACUUGCCACAUGGAUAGACUUAGACUGAAUUUAGCUCAUUAAGGAUGUCAGUGCCCAUCCUGGUCCUGAGCUCUCAUUCCUGCAUGAGGGGCACCAAGUCCCCAUGAAAGAGUGGGCCAUGGUCCAGGAGAAAACCUCUUCCCUGUUUUGGGAAUGUCUGGUGGACUGUGGUGGUCAGUGAACAUAGGAGGAAUUUGUCUCUGAGGUGCACAGCCCGAGCUCCAGGGAUGCAUUGUGUGUAUACGGCCUGCACCUGAGUACCUGGGGCUGAAAGGGGAGACCGUGUUGGAGGCCCACAUCUCCAAUGGGGAAUCCUUGGGACCACCUCAUGCUGACAGUCCUCUGAUGACAAGGACAGGCUAGCACUUGUAUCUCCAGCCUGGGUACCAGUCAGGACCUAGAUCUUGGGGGAAGAAGGAGCAAUAGGGUUAGCUGCUUCAGGCAUGGUGACCCUGCCAGAGUACCCCUAUCUGGUCAGUGACCACAGGCCCAGUGUUUUUCUUUCACAGUGGGCAGAGCUUUCCUGAACCAAGACACCUUCAGGGGUGGCCUCCUGGAAGCCUAACCUUGGCUGACAGAGCCAAAGGACACUCUGGAGCCAGUGUGCCCUUGCCUGCCCCUGCUCUCAGUUCACACCAGACUCACACCCUGUCCCAUGGGUGAUGGCAACAAGGAAGCUACUAUGGAGUCCAGCGCUCCAAGAUUAAGGGCUGUGGUAAGGCCUCAGCGGCCCAAGAGCUGGUGCUGCAAGUCUGGUUGGCAAAAGGAACUUCUGGGACUGCCGGAGUGGGACAAGCUGCCUGGUGAAGGCACCCUUUGACCUGGGCUUCUAGAUGAUGUCAGCGAGGAAGGCCCUGUGGGUUCCUGUGCCCCUGGAGAAAGAGCUGUGCUCAAGGUCUCAGCAGCCCAUGAGCUGCUUGUGCCAACCCCAUUGGCAGUCCCUGACUUGCCAAGGUAAGCCAAUCCAUCCAGGCUCUAGAGGUGAGACAAGGCAAUCCAUAUCCCAUGAUGUGGUUCCUCUGGUUGGGUCGAUGAUGAGACCUCAUACUGUCUUGAAGAGAGAUGAUGACUAAAAAAUCAUGCUCAACAGGAUUACGCUGAGUCCCAGCCUAGUGACAGUGGGUCAAGAGGACCUUGGGGUAAACAAGUGCCUUCCAGGGGAGGAACCCUGGGGACUGGUGAAUUUGAGACCCCUCAUGCCAUGAUGUGGUCCCCAGGCAGGAGAGGCUGCUCAUGGAGAAUGUACCCAAGCUCCAUCUUCCUUUGGUAUGGUGUAUACUCGCUGCUAUCCAAGGUGUGGGCUGCACUGGGGGCUCUGUUCUCAGGUCCUUUCAUCCCCUUCUGCCUUUCAGGGAAAAGUGUGGACUGGCCACGCACCCUUUCAUCAGGGGUACCUCGUGAGUGGAUGGACUGUGUCAUUCGGCCUGUGUGGGUCAGCAGGAGUUCUGGACAAGUCACCUUAUGCAAGUGUGAGGUGUGAACCCACAGAGAUUUAGGAAGGCAGACUCUGGCCAUGUUCCUGACUGAGCUGUGCCCAUCUUGGACUCUGAGGUCCUUACUUGAAACCCGGGCCUGGAGAGGGGGUAAAGCAAGGAAUAUCAGUGAUUUCUGUGGGAGGAUUCACAUGGGGUCAGUCCCCCCAUUUGCCACUGGUUGGCUACGGCCACCCUGGAUUGCCUUGCUGUAUAGCCAGAAUUGGGUGGACACUGUGGAUCAGGCCUCUGUGCAAGGCAUGAUUUUAGUUUAAGUAGAAGGCCUGGGUUCAAGUUACCAUGGCAGGGAGGAAGGUUUGGCAGGCUGCCACUUUGCUGUUGCCUGGCAAGUGGGAUUUUCACAUGGUUCCCAUGUCAGAGAGAACCUAAGACCCAGAGACACUUUGGGCAAUGCAUGUCCAGGGUUUGCCAACAUGUGGGGCAGGGCACUUUCAGGGUGAUGCCAGGCACACAACAUCCCACUACUUUUCUCAUCCAUGGACUGGUGUUCGCAGACCACAUAGGUGGACUUCAGACUGAGUUGAGCUCAGCAAGGAUGCCAUGGACCCUCCUGAUCUAGGGCUCCUACUCCUCCACAGGAGACAGCAAGAAGUGAUCCAGUCCGAUGCCUGUAAUACAUCUUUCAGUUGUGUAUGUGACACUUUUGGCAGCGACUAUUGGAGGAAGUUGUCUCCAUGGGGGAUGGCCUGGACUCAGAAUGCACUGUGUUCAUGCAGCCUGCACCUUAGCAUAAGGGCAUGUCUAGUGAUGCCAUGUUCGUAGUUCCAGGGCUCCGUGAGGGUGCUUCUUGAAUAUGUCUGUUUGGAAUUGUCCUCUCAUACUUAGGUUUAGUCAUUGCCUGCCUGUACAAUCCGGUUCCUUAUCAGGACCUGGGUAUCAGAGGCAAGAAGGAGCUGGAAGUAGGCGCUUCCAGCAGAACGAUUCUAUCCAAGUGGAUUUCUCUGUCCCAGUGACCACAAUGCCCAGUAGUUUUGCAGGCCAGGUGGGUGGAACUUGAGUGACCCACCACAGCUACAGGAUGUGCCUCCUGUAGCCAGUGUUCUGGAGACAAGAUUGUUCCUGAGCUUGGUUGGCCUGCUCAGAUCCCAGGUAUGACUUUCAGGCAGGGUGCCAGAAAAAGGGGUAGCAGUAGCCCCUCUGGACACGUGAGGUGGACUAAGUGGGUCUAUCUGGUCCAGUGACCACCAGGCCCAACUGUUUGUGGGUAAGGUGAGAGAAGUUUUCCCAAUACUCCAUACCAACGUGGGUGGCCUCCUGGAUAGUCAACCAUAUGCCCAUGGGGUUAAAGCAUUCUCUGGAACCAGUGUACUCAGAGCUUAUCCCAGCUCUCUUAUUCUCACCAGACCCCCUUCCUGUCCCACAGAUUAUGUCUACAAAGGUUCCAGUGCCACAGAUGCAAGGGCUGUGGUCCAGAUCUCAGCAGCCCAUGAGACCCUGCUUUCCCAUUGGCAAAGGAAACAUUUAUGACUCUCCAAGAUAGCCAAUACAUCAGGGCCCUUGAGUGGAAUGAGGCUGGUGGGAUCAUAUAUUGUGGUUCCUGGGGUUAGGUUGAUGAUGAGACCUCAUACUGUCUCGAAUAGAGAUGAUGACUUAAAAAUCAGGCUCAAUAGGAUUAUGAUGAGACCCAGCCUAGUGACAGUGCUGCAAGAGGACCUUGGGGUAAGCAGGUCCCUCGCAAGGGAGGAGACCCUGGAGACAAGAGAUGUUUUGGAUCCCCAGGCCAGGUUGAGGUACAACAGAAGGAGCAGCUGCUCAUGAUGGAUGCAUCCCAAGCUCCUUCCUCCUUGGUUUGGUGUCUGCUCUCUGCUGGCUGAGUUGUGAGGACCUGCUGGGUGUUCCACUUUCAGCUCCAUUCUAUUCCUUGUGUCUUUUAGUGAGAUGAGCAACCAGGCGGGGCACCCUUGCUCCUAGGUUCUGGGUGAGUGGAUAGAAAAUGUCAUUGAGGGGGUGUGCAAAAUGGUAUCUGGUAGGGUCACUGGAUGAGAGUCUGAGUGGUGGACUCCUGGAGACUCUAGAAGGCAGCCUCAGGCAGGGCUCCUAAGUAAGCUGUGCCUCUUUAGGCUCUGAAGUGAAAAACGAGUUGCCUGGACCCCUGGCCUGGUGUAGGGCAAAGUGAGGAAUGGAAAAGGUUCCUGAGGGAGGGUUCACAUAGGGCCAAUGCCUUUAGUUGCCCCUAAGUGGGCUACAGUAGCUCUGCAUUGCCUUGGUCAUGUGACUGGAAGUAGACGCGCACUGGGUACAGGCCUCUGAGCACAGCAGUGACCACUGGGAGCCUGGGCUGAGGGUCACACCAGGUCAGUGAGAGACAAUUGAUGGGACAACCAGCUCUGCAGGUGCCUGGAAGCCCGAGAAUCUCAUGUGGGUCAUGGAGCCACUGGAGCCUAGGCUGCAGGAAUGCUCUGGCCAGUGCCCAGAAGGAGGAUGCCAACCCUCAAGUUGAGGCACUUGUAGAGUGAUGCCAGUCAUGCCCCAUUUCCCCUGCAUGCUUCAGCCAGGGCUUUGUGUUUUCAGGCCACAUGGGUGGGACUUGGCCUGAGUUGAGCCCAGAAAGGGUGCCAAGGUUCCUUCUGGGCCUCGGCUUGCUCUCCUCCAUGGGAGGUUCCAAGGUCCCACUGGAGAACUGGGCCAUUGUCCAGCUCAAUGACUAUACUACAUCUUUGGGAUGUGUAUGUGACUGCAGUGGGCAGUGACCAUAGGAGGAAGAUGUCUUUGGGAGGCACAACCUAAGCUUCCAGGAUCCAGUGUGUGCAUACAGCCUGCCCCUUGGUUCCCUGGCCUGGAAUAGGAGGCUGUGUGGCCUAGGCUAUGGCCCCAGACAACCUUCUUGGGUGUGUAUCAUGUGACCAGUCUUCAGAUAACAAGGUUGUGCCAGCAUUUUCUUGUUCAGCCUAGGUCCAGUCCAGUUCCUGGAUCACGGGAGAAGGGUAGAAUGGUGGGGAAGUCAUUUCUGGCAGUGGGACCUGGCCUGAGUGGCCCCCUUGGCCUGGUUACCAAUGGGCCCAGGCAUUCGCAGGCAAGGUGGACGGAGCUUGCAGUUCCACCACACUGACAGGGUGGUCUCCUGGGAAGCCUCAAAUAGGGUGACAGGGCCAAAGCAUGCCUGGAACCAAUGAACCCUACUUGCUCCUGCUGUCUAUUCACACCCAUCCCUGUACCUGUCCCACAUAGGAUGUCACCAAGGGAAGCCCCCGUGGCUUCCACUGCCCCAGGAGCAAGGGCUGUGGUCAAGGCUCCAGCUGCACAAAGAGCUAGUGGUGGAAGUCCUGUUGAAGAAGGCAAUGCCUGUGACUCCCUGAGUGAGCCUGGCUGCCUGGUGGAGCAUCUUUGUGCCCUGGGUCCCAGAUGAUGUCUGUGGAUUCCUGUUUCCCAGGGAUAAGGGCUGUGUUCAAGGCCCCAGUGGCCUAUGAAUGGAUUCUGCCAGCACCGUUGGUGUAGGAAACGUCCUUGACUCCCUGAGUGAGCCUUGCUGCCUAGCGGGGAACCAUUGCACCCCAGUUCCCAGAUGAUGUCAGCAGAAGAAGUUCCUGUGGUUUCCUGUGCCCCAGGGUAAGAGCUGCUGUCAAGGACCCAGCAGCCCUUAAGCUGCUAGUGCAAGCCCCAUAGAUGUAGGAAACAUCCCUGAGUGCCCAAGAUGAUGUCACCAAAGGAAGAUCAGUGGAAUCUGGUGCCCCUGGGUCUAGUGCUAUGGUCAAGGUCUCAGCAUCCCAUGAGCUACUGGUUCCAGUCCUGUUGGCAAAGGAAACAUCCAUAACUCUCCAAGUGAGAAGAUUUACCUGGAAGAAAACCCUUGGACCUGGAGUUCUAGAUGAUGUCAGCAGGGGAAUCUCCCGUGGGGUCCAAUGCCAUGGCAGCAAGGGCUGUGGUCAAGGUCCCAGAGUCCCAUGAGCCGAUGUUGCAAUCAUGUUUGCAAAAGAAUCAUCUAGGACUUCUUGAGUGUGGUGUGCUACCUGGUGGUUCAUCCUUGUGUCCCAGAACCCAGAUAAUGUCACCAUAGGAAGGCUCCAUGGGUUCUACUGCCUCUGGGGCAGGGUUGUGGUCAAGGCCCCAGCAGCCCAUGAACUGAUUUGCCAGCCCUAUGAGAGAAUGAAAUGUCCACAAUGAGUGAGCCCUGCUGCCAGAGGGACACCUAUGCCUCCUAGGUCCCAGAUGAAGUCUCCAAAGGAAGCCCCCAUGGAUUACAGUACCCCAGAGGCAAGGGCUGUGGUCAAGAUCUCAGUGGCUCAUGAGCUGCUGCUUCUAGCCCCUUUGGCAAAACAAAUCUCUGUGACACUCUAAGGUAAGCCAAUCCAUCUGGGCCCUUGGGUAAAAUGAUUCCAGUGGCAAUGUAUGUUGUAGUUACUGGGGUUGGGUCAAUGAUGAGACCUCAUACUGUCUCGAAGAGAGAUGAUGACUUAAAAAUCAUGCUCAAUAGGAUUACGCUGAGGCCCAGCCUAAUGACAAUGGUAAGAGGUCCUUGGGGUAACCAAGUGCUUUCCAUGGGAGGAGACCCUGGGGACUGGAGACCUUGAGGCUCCCAAGCCAGGAAGCAGUCCCCAGGUAGGAGAGGCUGGGAAGACCUCUCUCUCUGCAUCUCCUUCUCUCUCUGUGUAAGUCUGACUUUCACAGUCAGACUUACAAGCUCCAUCUUCCUUGGGUGUGGUGUGUGCUAUCUGCUCUCUGAGUUUCAGGGCUGUACUGAGGCUCUUUCCUCAGCUCCUUUUAUCCCGUGGUGUCUUUCAGUGAGCAGAUUUGCCCAGCAGGGCAUUUUUGGACCUGAAGUUCUAGGUGAGUGGAUGGAGGGUGUCACUGGGCCUAUGUGGAUCAGUAGGGAUUCUGGAUGGAUCAGCUGAUACAAGCUGGAUGUGUGGACCCAGAGAGAAUUAGCAAGGCAGCGUUGGCAAUGCUCCUGUGAGCUGUGCCCCUUUGGCGCUGAGUUCCUAACCGUCUUACCUAAAACCCUGGUCUGGAGAGAAGGGUAGAGCAAGGAAUGUCAACAAUCCUGGGGGAGAGUUCACAUUGGACCAGUCCCUGUGUGUGUCCUAGAUCAGCUUCAUCAGUCCUAUACUGCUUCGUUGGUAUGGCCUGAAGUGGAUGGAUACUGGGAUCAGGCCUCUGUCAGUUGCAGAUUUUAGAUUCAGUAGAAGGACCAGGCUGAAGAUACCAUGACAGAGGGAAGGUUUGGCUUGGCAACCUGAUAUGCCAUUGCCUGGUAGUCUGGGAUUUUCGUGAGUGUUGUAGUGCCCUUGAACUCUAGGACCUAGGGAUACUCCGGGUAAUGCUUGAUCAGGGUGAGCCAAGAUCUAGGUCAAGGUACUUUCAGGGUUAUGUCAUGCACGCAACAUCCCACCACUUGUCUCAUCCAUGGGCUGACAUUCGCAUACCACACGGAUGGGCUUCAGACUGAGUUGAGUCCAGCAAGGAUACCAUUGCCCCUCCUGAGCCAGGGCUCCCACUUCUCCACAGGAGACACCAAGGAGUGAAUCAUGGUCCAGUCAGAUGCCCAUACCCCAUCUUGGGUAGUGUAUGAGAUGGAAUGAUAGGAGGAAAAUGUGUCCUGGGGGUACUCCCUAAACCUCCAGGAUCCACUGUGUUCACCCAUCCUGCACCUGAGCCCCUGGGCAUGACUGGCUAUGCAGUGUUGAUAGUCCCAGAGCCUCAUGGGGGCCUCCAUAAGUAUGUCUCUUUGGAAUGGAAUGCUGAGGUUUUGGCCAAGUCAUUUCUUGCCAUCCAGUCUGGUUCCAGACAAGGACCUGAGUCUUGGGGGGCAGGAAGGCGAGAUAAGAGUAGGUGCUUCCAGAGGGACAGUCCUACCUAAAUGGCCCUUUCUUUAUUAGAGACCACAAUGCCCAGCAUUUGUAGGCCACAUGGGUAGAACCUGCCAGAUUACUACACCUACAGAGGUAGGCUCCUAGAUAGCCUCAUCUGAGCAAAUGGGGCCAAAGCCAGAAUAUUCUAGCCUGGAACCAGUGUAUCCUGCUGUCUAUUCACACUGGUUCCCCUCCCACUCCCACAGAUGAUGUCAUCAAAAGAAGCUCGAUGGGGCCCAGUGCCCAGGAACAAGGGCUGUAGUCAAGGCCUCAGAGGCCAAUGAGCUGGUUCUGAAAAACGAAGUUCUAGGAUUGCCUGAGGUCCCAGAGAGUACUUUGGAGUAGGAGACUGGAAGAAGCAAUGGGGGUAGCUCAUCUGGACAAUGCAAUGUGGCCUGAGAGGGUCUCUUUGGCUCAGUGACCAACAGGCCCAACUGUUUGCAGUGAGCAGAUUUGCCCUACAAAGGACCCUUGGACCUGGCGUUCUAGUGAGACAAGCUGUAUGGUGGGACACCCUUGGACCUGGGGUUAUAGAUGAUAUCACCAAAGAAAGCCCCAGUGGCUUCCACUGCCCCUGGAGCAGGGCUGUGUUCAAGGGUGCAGCAGGCAAUGAGCAAGUGGUGUAAAUCCCUGCUAGAGAAUGAAAUGACAGUGACUGUCCGAGGUAAGCCAAUCCAUCCAGGCCCUGGAUGUGGGAUGGUGCCAGGGACUUCCUGUGGUCUGGCCCCUGGAUCUGGGUCAAUGAUGAGACCUAACAUGUCUUGAAGAGAGAUGAUGACUUAAAAAUCAUGCUCAAUAGGAUUACGCUGAGGCCCAGCCUGGGAUCAUAGUCAAGAGAACCCCGGGUGCACACGAGCCUUCCAGGAGAGGAGAAUGUGGGGACUGGAGACCUGGAGGCUCCCAGGCCAUGAUACAGUCCUCAGGCAGGUUCAGUUGGUCCUGCAGGCUCCACUCAAGCUUCUUCCUCCUUGGGCAUGGUAUGUGCUCCCACUGACUGACUGAGGAGCACUGUGGGCAGCUCCUUCUUUGGCUCCUUUUAUCUCUUGUCUCUUUCAGUGUGAUAUAUUACCCAGGGCUUCCCCGCUUUGUCCCAGAGCCCAGAUGAGUGGAUGGUGAGUAUCAUGGGGCAUCUGUGGAGGAGCUGAGUGAAGUGUGGGUCACCUGACAGAAGUCUUAUGGGUGGACCCCGUGGAGACACAGGAAGGCAGUAUUGAGCUGUACUCCAGAGCAAGCUGUGACCCUAUGGGCUCUGAGGCCCAGCACACCUUGCCUAAAUCCCUGGCCUCGUAAAGGGGCCAACUGAGAAAUGGGAAAGGAUCAUGGACUGCGUUCAUGCGGGGCAAGUGCCAACAUUUUUUCCAGGUGGGCUGAGAGACUCUGGGUUGCCUUGAAGAUUUGGCCAGAGUGGAUGGAUACUGGGAUCAGGCCUACUUGAGGAGACAAGGCUAAGAUACCAUAGGAAAUCUGGGCAAAAGACCACAUUAUGCGAUGAGGGAGUUUUGGCAGGGCAGCCCGCUCUGCAGUUGCUUGGCAGCCUGAAAGCUUCACUUGGGUUGAGGGGUCACUGCAGCCUAGGACAUAGAGAUGCUGCAGCCAGUGCCCAGGCAGGUAGGUGCCAACACCCAGGCCAAAGCACCCAUACUGUGGCGCCCAGCAUGCCCCAUCCCUGCUUCUUGCCUCUGCCAAGAGUUGAUGUUCCUUUGACACAUGGUUAGGCUUUGGACUGAGUUGAGCCCAUGAAGGAUGUCAGGGCCUCUCCUGGUCCAAGGCUCCCAUGCCACACAGGAGGCACCAAGGCCCCACAGAAGAGUGGGCCAUGGUCCAGGCCAAAGCCCUUUCUCCAUCUAUGGCAUGUGAGUGGGACUGCAGUGGGCAUUGCAUGGAAGAGGAAUUUGUCUUCAGGGUGUACAAACUUAGCUCCCAGGAUGCAGUUUGUACACACAGCCUGCACCUCAGUGCCUGGCCAUGGAGAGAGAUGCCAUGUUGAUAGGCCCAGGUCCCAACUGGGGAAUUCUUAGGUGUAUCUCAUGCCACUGAUCCUCUGAUGCCAAGGCUGGGCCAGCACUUGUUUUUACAGCCCAGGUACUAAUCAGGACCUCUGUCUUGAGAGAGGAAGGAUCAGUGGUGUUAGCUGCUUCAAGCAUGUGACCCAACCAGAGUGGCCCUAGGUGGUCAGUGACCAACAGGUCCAGCAGUUUUCCAGCAAGGGUGGGCAGAGUUUGCCCAAACCAAGAUGCCCACAGGUUUGACCUCCUGGAAGCCUUACCUGGGCCAACUCAGCCAAAGCACAUUUUGGAAAAAGUUCACUCUUGCCGGCCCUGCUGUAUAUUCACACCCAAUACCCACUCUGUCCCACAGAUGAUGUCAUCAGGGAAGCACCCACUGGGGCCAGUACUCUGAGAACAAGGGUUGUGGUCAAGGCCCCAGCAGCUCAGGUGCUGGUGCUGUGAGUCCAAUUGGUGAAGGAAAUUUCUGGGACUGGCCAAGGUAAGCCAGUUCAUUCGGGCCCUGGACAUAGUAUGGCACCAGGUACUUCCCAUGCUGUGGUUCCUGGGGUUGGGUCGAUGAUGAGACCUCACACUGUCUCGAAGAGAGAUGAUGACUUAAAAAUCAUGCUCAAUAGGAUUACGCUGAGGCCCAGCCUAGUGACAGUGGUGCAAGAGGAACUUGGCAUAACCAGAUGCCUUUCAAGGGCAGAGACCCUGGGUCUGGAGGUAUUUUGGUCCCCCCACGCCAGGUCAAGGUCCACAUAAAGUGCAGCUGCUCGUCCUGCAUGCACCCCAAGCUCCUUCCUCCUUGGACAUGCUGUGUGCUCCCUGCUGUCCUGGUUACAGGGCCGCAUUCAGGGCUCCUUCCUCAGCUCCUUUCCUCCUCUGUGUCUUCCAGUGGGAUGAGCUGCCUGGUGGGGCAUUCUUUGAUCUUGUGUCCAAGAUGAUGUCACCAAAGGAAGUUCAGUGGAGUCCAGUCUCAGGGGGCAAUGGCUCUGGUAAGGGCCCCAGAAGCCAAUGAGCUGCGUCUGCCAGCCGCUUUGGAAAAAAAGUUCCAGGGCUGCCUGAGAUAUUGGAAAAGUGAAGCCCCUGUGGAGUCCAGUAGCCUGUGGGCAAGGGCUGCCGUUGAGGCCCUAAUACCCCAUGAGCUGGUACUGCAAGUCUCAUUGGUGAAGGAAAUGUCCCUGAUGCCCAAGUGAUCCUUGCUGCCUGCCAGAGUACCCUUGCUCCCCAGUUCCCAGAUAUCAGCAGAGAAAGCCCCUAUGGGUUCCAGUGACCCAGAGGGAAGGGCUGUGGAAAAGUCCCUAGUGGCCCAAAAGCUGAUGGUGCCAGCUCCACUGGUAUAGGAAACAUACCUGACUGCCCAAGUGUGGUGUGCUGCCUGGUGGUUCAUCCUUGUGUCCCAGAACCCAGAUGAUGUAACUAAAGAAAACCCCCAGGGUUUCCACUUCCCCUGUGCAGAGCUGUGAGGCCAUGAGGUGGUGGUACCAGCCUUGUUGGAGAAGGCAAUGUCCGUGACUGCCCAAGUUCGAUGAGCUGCCCAGCAGAACACCUUUGAAACUGGGGUUCCAGAUAAUGUCAUCAAAGGAAGCUCCAAUGGGAUCCCCUGCCCCAGGGGCAAGGGCUGUUGUCAAGACCUGGAAGCCCAUGAGCUGGUGGUGCCAGCCCCUUUGGUGAAGGAAAUGACCGCAACAGUUGUGUGUGACAAGUUACCCAGCGCAUCUCCCUUGAGCCCUGGGUCCCAGAUUAUAUCAAGUCUCCAGUGGCCCAUGAGCUGGUGGUGCCAGCCUCAUUGACAAAAUAAAUGUAUGGAACUGCCUAUGGUGAUGUCAGCAGAGGAAGCCCUUGUGGUUUCCACUUCCCCAGGGGCGAGGGCUGUGGUCAAAGCUCCAGCGGCCUAUGAGCUGGUGCUGCCAGCUCCACUGGCAGAAGGAAACAUCUGAGACUGCCUGAGUGAGACAUGCCCCCUGGUGUGGCACCCUCAGACUCAUAGUCCCAGAUAAAGACUAAUGGAGAAGAGUACCCUUUGUGAUGUUGCUACUUAUACAACUACUAUAACUCAGAUAUACUUCAGUGAAUCUAACUGGUCUCCCAUCCCUUUGAAUCGUGCUUUAAGGAUGUAAUUCUGGUUAAAGGCUAGAAUCAGUUAUUGUACUUCAGAGAUCACAGAAGGGCAGGCACCUGGUCCUUCACUUUAGAGAAGAAGGGGAUCAAGCAAAUCACCUCUGUGACACACCUGGUCUCUACCAGCCUUGUGGGGUGCAUUAGCAGGGAGCUGAAUUGGAAAUGGAGCAGCCAAGACUUGAACCAGUACCUGUAUGGGAUGCUGGCAUUGCAGGUGGCACCACAACUCCAGCUCCUAUCACAAGUUUUCUGAUAAGGUGGGAAAGACCAGCAGGAUGCCUUAGAGACAAACUACUAAAAGCAUACAUAAAGAAAUGUAACACAGAUUCUAGACAAUCCCAUCUGACUUGUGUGUUGUUUUUUUUGUUUGUUUGUUUUUUGACAGGCAGAGUGGACAGUGAGAGAGAGACAGAGAGAAAGGUCUUCUUUUUGCCGUUGGUUCACCCUCCAAUGGCCGGCGCACCGCGCUGAUCUGAUGGCAGGAGCCAGGUGCUUAUCCUAGUGCAGGGCCCAAGCACUUGGGCCAUCCUCCACUGCACUCCCUGGCCACAGCAGAGAGCUGGCCUGCAAGAAGGGCAACCGGGACAGAAUCCGGUGCCCCGACCGGGACUAGAACCCGGUGUGCCGGCGCUGCAAGGCGGAGGAUUAGCCUAGUGAGCCGCGGCGCCGGCCCCAUCUGACUUGUAAAUAUGUAAAAUCUAGCCCCUCUCUGUACCCCUGUGCAGAAAUCUUUGCUGUAGUUUUGCCCAUACUGCUGUUCUGCCCCAACAUGGAAACUAGCAUGUAAGGUGCCCCAAUAAACCCUUUUAUUCUUGUAGAGUUUCUUUCUUCAUUCUUCAGACGCAGGAUUUCUUCUCAGUUUGGGAGACAUUACAUGAUCCACCAACAUUCAGACACAAACCUAGUACUGUCGCUGAAUUACUGGUUAUCUGUAUUCUGAUUUCAAUACUUUGGCUUAUUAAGAUACUAAUACUUCUGUGACUUUUGCAACCCUUACUCCAAAGUCAUCUACCAUGUAGUGUUGAAACCCUACUCUUUGAGACUGGAUUAAGAUGGUGAAGUAGGGAGGGAGCUUACUGCUCUAGUCUAGGAGAAGAUAGUUUAAAAAGGAAAAAAAAAAAAAAAAAAAAAGGAGAGAAUGCAGUCUCUGGGAAGUUCGGGAGAAAACAGCAGAGGAAACUCCACACAAAUUAGAGGGACACAGUGGACCUACGUGGAGGACGAGGACGUGCACAACUCAGGACCACAGCAGCCAAGAGCAUCCUCACCAACUCUAAAAUAGUGAGGUAAGACCAGACCCUGGCAGCCCAAGUCACUGGCAAUAAAGCUGCAGGAAGAGCCUGGAGGGAAUCUGGCUUGGAGCUCUGUGGAGGAUAGUGUACCUGGCAAACUAGAGGAGGGGAAAAAAAAAAAAAAAAAAAGGCGGGAGGAGAGGGGACGGGGAGAUGUGCACGGUUCUCUCUCCCCAUACACCCUUCAACGACAUCCCUGUAACAAGCUAAUAAACAGCAGGUGCCAUUUUGGACAUACAUUAACAGCUGCACCAGCUUCUGUCCUUGCCUGGCCAGGCGGAGACUCCAGGGUUUGGUGGGGAGAACUGAUAGGGGGCUGGGUGCUUGUGACUGUAGGAGGCUUUUUUUGCUGGGACUGUGAAAACACUGAGGAUGUGUAGGAGGGUUCUGGGUGCGGCUGGAACUUUGGGCAGUCACUGUGGGAGCCUCCACAUGUUCAGGGCUCCCCAGUUCCCUGGUGAGGGACUCUGCUGGGGAAUCUGUGCUUAGACCAAGGACUAUACAGAUCCUUUGUGUGAUCCUUGUGGCAGCGUGGACAAAUAUUAUAGCCCAAGGAACUGGUCUUCUUUGAGGAGAGGGGGUAAGCUGAGUCUACGCCAACAGAGCAGAACAAACCACUCUUCUAAUUAAAAAAAGAGAGAGACUGACUGACUUAACCACACUCAACCUAGAUGUCACCUUGGAAACUCCCUUCACCCUAGAGUUCCAACAAAGCUCCCUGGCCACACCCACCAUAGGCCUCUAGGUAUUCACUGAAAAAAUAGAAACUACACUAAUCCACAGAGGUAUAAUCCAAAGAUAAAAGCCACAGCAGAGAAAAUUCAAAGAAAUCAAAAAGUAUCUGCACAAAUGCCGCACAAUGAACACACUGAUUCAAGAAACACUAAGGAACACAACAUGAUGCCCGCAAAAGAAUAAAACACUUCAAUACCAGAUUGUGAAGAUGAAAAGACUGAAGAAAUACCAGAAAUAGAAUUCAAAAAAUUGAUCACAGGAUUACUUAGAAGUAAUCAGAAGAAAAUGCACGAACUAGUAAAAUCCUUACAUGACAAAAAAAUUUCUCCCAUGAAAUUGAGUUCUUAAAUCAAAAUGAAAUCUUGGAAAUGAAGAAUUCAAUAGAACAAAUAAACACAGUGGAAAGCCUUAACAACAGAAUCAGAAGAAUAUCCAAAUUAGAAGACAAAUCGCAGGAAAUUAUUCACUCAGAACAAAAACAAGAAGAAAUUAGAAAACUAAAAAACACUGUUGGGAAUCCACAGGAUAUCAUCAAAUGACCAAACACACGGGUUCUAGGAAUUCCUGAAGGCAUAGAAAGAAACAAAUGAUAGAAGGACUUUUAAGUGAAAUAAUAACAGAAAACUUACCUAAUUUGUAGAAAUAAAGGGAUAUCCAAGUACAGGAAGCACACAGAACCCCUAAUAGACAAGACCAGAAAAGAUCUUCACCAUGACACAUUGUAUUCAAACUUUCCACAGUAAAACAAAGAUUCUAAAAUGUGCAUCAGAGAAUUGCCAGAUUACUAUCAGAACAUCUCCAAUUAGACUCACAGCAACAAUGAGAGCACUAUGUAAUGAUUAAGGGAUCAAUUCAAGGAGAAGAUGUAACUAUUCUAAAUGUAUAUUCACUUAAUUGAAGGGCAUCUGGCUAUUUAAAAGAAAUGUUAAUGGGGCUAAAGGGAGACAUAGACUCAAAUACAAUAGUAAUAGAGGACUUCAAUACCCCACUUUCAGAAGUGCACAGAUCUACCAGACAGAAAAUCAGCAAGGAAACAACAGAAUUAAUCAGCACUAUUGACCAAACAAACCUAACAGAUAUCUACAAAACUUACCAUGCUACAGCUGUGGAAUAUAUAUUCUCCUCAGCAGUGCACAGAACCUUCUCUAGGAUUAACCACAUGUUGGAUCAAAAAGCAAGUGUCAGCAAAUUCAAAAAACUCAAAAUAUAUCAUGCAUCUUCUCAGACCAUGAUGGAAUGAAGCUAGAAAUCAGCAACUCAGGAAUCUCUAGAACAUAUGCAAACACAUGGAGACUAAACAACAUGCUCCUGAAUGAACACUGGGUCACUGAAGAAAUCAAAAGAGAAAUCAAUCGGGGCUGUCGCUGUGGCAGGAAAAUCCGCCACCUGCAGUGCCAACAUCCCAUAUGGGCGCUGGUUCAAGUCCCAGGUGUUCUACUUCUGAUCCAGCUCUCUGCUAUGGCCUGUGAAAGCAGUAUAAGAUGGCCCAAGUCCCUGGGUCCCUGUACCCACAUGGACAACUCGGAAGAAACUCCUGGCUCCUGGAUUUGGAUGGGCAUAGCUCCAGUCGUUGCGGCCAAUUGGGGAGUGAACCAGCGGACAGAUGACCUCUCUUUUUUUUUCUUUCUCUCUCUUUGCUUCUCCUCCUCUCUGUGUGUAAUAAUUUCAAAUAAAUAAAUCUUUAAAAAAAAAGAAAUCAAAAAAUUGCUGGAAACAAAUGAAGAUGACAAUUCAACAUAUCAACACUUGUGGGGUUGGGGGCAGCAUUGUGGCACAGUGGGCAGGGCUGCCACCUGAAGUGCCAGCAUCCCAUAUGGGCGCCGGUUCGAGUCCUGGCUACUCCACUUCUGAUCUGGCUCUGUGCUACAGCUUAGGAAAGCAAUGGAGUUGGCUCAAGUCCUUGGGCCAUUGACUCGUGGGAGACCCAGAAGAGGCUCUUGGCUUUAGAACGGCGCAGCUCCAUCCAUUGUGGCCAGUUGGGAAGUGAACCAGCGGAUGCAGGACCCCCCCCCCCUCUCUUUCAAAUAAAUAAAUCUUAUUAAAAAAAAAAAAAUCCAAUGAAUACUUUAAAAAAAAAAAAACCUAUGGGAUACAGUAAAAAUAGUGUUAAGAGGAAAGUUUAUAGCAAUUGGUGCCUACAUCAAGAAACUGGAACGGGACCAAAUAAAUGAACUAUCAAUGAAUCUCAAGUAUCUAGAAAAACAUCAGCAAACCCAACCAAAAACUAGGAGAAAAGAAAUAAUUAAAAUUAGAGAAGAAAUCAAUGAAGCUGAAAUAACAAUUUGACGUUCUUGUUUAUGGCGUCAGUAAUCUCCCUAGGCUCUAGUCAUGAGUUGCCAAGGCUAUGGAAGCCUUUUGAGUUUGCCAGCUUCGAUGUUAUUCAGACAGGGUCAUAGUCUGGUUUUUUGAAAAAAUACACACAACUGACACACAAUUGCCCAACUAAUCAAAAAAAGGAAAGACCCAAAUUAAUAAAAUUAGAAAUGAAAAAGGAAAUGUAACAACAGACAACACAGAAAUUAAAAGAAUCAUCAGAAAUUACUACAAAAACUGUAUUCCAACAAACUGGGAAACCUGUAAGAAAUGAACAGAUUCCUGAACACAUACAACCUACCUAAAUUAAGCCAUGAAAACACAGAAAACCUAAACAGAACCAUAACAAAGACAGAAACAUCUGCCCAACAAAGAAAAGCACAGCACCAGAUGGAUUCAUCGCUGAAUUCUACCAGACAUUUAAUGAAUAACAAAUUCCAAUUCUUCUCAAGCUAUUCAAAAAAACUGAAAGGGAGGGAAUCCUCCCAAAUUCUUUCUAUGAAGCCAGCAUCACCUUAAUUCCUAAACCUGAAAAAGAUGCAACAAAGAAAAAGAAUUACAGACCAAUUUCCCUGACAAAUAUAGAUGCAAAACUCAACAAAAUUCUAGCCAAUCGAAUCCAACAGAACUUCAGAAAGAUCAUCCACCCAGAACAAGUGUGAUUUAUCCCUGCUAUGUAGAUAAUGUUCAAUAUUCUCAAAUCAAUGUGCUACACCACAUUAACAAACUAUUGAACAAAAACUAUAUGCUUUUCUCAAUAGAUGCUGAGAAAGCAUAAUAAAAUACAACAUGAAAACUCUAAGCAAAUUGGGUAUAGAAGGAACACUCCUCAACACAAUCAAUGCAAUUUAUAACAAAUCCACGGUCAGAAUCAUACUGAAUGGGGAAAAGUUGGAAGCAUUCCCGCUGACAUCUAGAACCAAACAAGGAUGCCCUCACUCACCACAACUAUUUUUUUUUUUUUAAUUAUUUGACAGGUAGAAUUAUAGACUGAGAGAGACAGAGAAAAAGGUCAUCCUUCCAUUGGUUCACUCUCCAAAUGGCCGCCACAGCCAGCACUGCACCAAUUCGAAGCCAGGAGCCAGCUGCUUCAUCCUGGUCUCCUAUGCGGGUGCAGGUGCCCAAGGACCUGAGCCGUCCUCCACUGCCCUCCCGGGCCACAGCAGAGAGCUGGACUGGAAGAGGAGAAACUGGGACUAAAACCCGGUGCCCAUAUGGGAUGCCAGUGCCACAAGCAGAGGAUUAACCAAGUGAGCAAUGGCGCCGGCCCUUCACCAUCGCUAUUCAGUAGUCCUGGAAAUUUUAGCCAGAGCUAUUAGGUAAAAAAAAAAAAAAAAAAAAAAAUCAAAGGUAAACAAAUUGGAAAGGAGGAAAUCAAACUACCUUAUUUCCAGAUGACAUAAUUCUAUAUAUAGGGGAUCCAAAAGACUCCACCAAGAGACUAUUGGAACUCAUAGAAGAGUUUCGUAAAGUAGCCAGAUAUAAAAAUCAACACACAAAAUUCAACACAGUCUUUGUAUACACAGGCAAUGCCACAGCAGAGUAACAGCUUCUAAGAUCAAUACCAUUCACAAUAGCUACCCAAAAAACCAAAUACCAUGGAAUAAAUUUAAACAAGGAUGUCAAGAGCUCUAAGAUGAGAAUUAAAAUACAUUAAAGAAGAAACAGAACAUACCUUCUAGUAUUUUUUUUUUGUUCUAGUACUAUUGGUUGAACUCUGUAAUUAACACACAAUUAUUCUUAGGUGUUUAAAUUUAACUGAAAAGUGAUCCCUGUUAAAUAUAAGAGUGGGAAUAAGAGAGGGAAGAGAUGUACAGUUUGGGACAUGCUCAAUCGGACUUGCCCCAAAUGGUGGAGUUAGAAAUGUGCCAGAGGAUUCCAAUAAAAUCCCAUCAAGGUUGCAUGUACCAAAGCCAUCUCACUAGUCCAAGUGAUCAAUUUCAGUUCACAAUGGAUCUUACUAAUAGGUCUAAGAUUCAAAGGGAUCACACAAACAAGACUAGCGUCUGCUAAUACUAACUGAUAGAAUCAAAAAGGGAGAGAACGAUCCAUCAUAGGAAGCGGGAUACACAGCAGACUCAUAGAAUGGCAGAUGUCCUAAACAGCACUCUGGCCUCAGAAUCAGCCCUUAAGGCAUUCUUAUCUGGCUGAAGAGCCCAUAAGAGUAUUUUAGGAAUGGAAAGCCAAGACACUCUGGCAAAAAAAAAAAAAAACAAAAACAAACCACAAAAACACAAACACCUAAAUGAAAGAUCUCUGCGAGUGAGAUCCCAGUGCAAAGAACAGGCCAUCAAAGAAGGAGGUACCUUUCUCUGAAGGGAGGAGAGAACUUCCACUUUGACUAUGACCCUGUCUGAAUAACAUCGAAGCUGGCAAACUCAAAAGGCUUCCAUAGCCUUGGCAACUCAUGACUAGAGCCUAGGGAGAUUACUGACGCCAUAAACAAGAACGUCAAAUUGUUAAGUCAACAACAGGAGUCACUGUGUACUUACUUCUCAUGUGGGAUCUGUCCUUAGUGUGUUGUCCAAUGUGAAGUAAUGCUAUAACUAGCACUUAAACAGUAUUUUACACUUUGUGUUUCUGUGUGGGUGCGAACUGAUGAAAUCUUUACUUAAUAUAUACUAAAUCGAUCUUCUGUAUAUAAAAAGAAUUGAAAAUGAAUCUUGAUGUGAAUGGAAUGGGAGAGGGAGUGGAAGAUGGGAGGGGUGCGGGUGGGAGGGAAGUUAUGGGGGGGAAGCCAUUGUAAUUCAUAAACUGUACUUUGGAAAUUUAUAUUCACUAAAUAAAAGUUUAAAAAAUUUCAAAAGUAAUAUAUUAUUUUUUAAGCCAUUGCUGUUCUAAAAAAAAAAAGAAAAGAAAAGAAAUAGAAGAUACCAAAAACAUGGAAAACUCUUCCAUGUUCAUGGAUUGGAAGAAUCAAUAUCAGAAAAUGUCCAUUUUCCCAAAAGCAAUUUACAGAUUCAAUGCGAGAUGAAUCAAAAUCUGAGACAUUCACUCAGAUACAGAAAGAAUGAUGCUGAAUGACUUUCAAGAGCCCUUGUCUUGACUGCUGAGGAACAGUUUUUCUUUUUGUUUUUUUUUUUUUUUCUCUCCCCUCCCCUACCAAAAAAAAAAAAAAAAAAAAGAA
Oryctolagus cuniculus (rabbit) is the source of this 22386-nucleotide non-coding RNA. NCBI's taxonomy places the organism in Eukaryota, Metazoa, Chordata, Mammalia, Lagomorpha, Leporidae. The record is from RefSeq and is a predicted model, not a curated record.